CAAAAUACUUUUUUUGAGCUGGAGUGAUACAGAGUGGAUUAGCAUGGCCCCUGCACAAGGAUGGCACGCAAAUUCGUGAAGCAUUCCAUAUUUUU
Molecule: small nuclear RNA, 95 nt
Filed under: Catagonus wagneri (Chacoan peccary)
Lineage: Eukaryota; Metazoa; Chordata; Mammalia; Artiodactyla; Tayassuidae
Source: RNAcentral